RNAcentral lists this non-coding RNA (21 nucleotides) under Mus musculus (house mouse). The record is from RNAcentral. Lineage: Eukaryota; Metazoa; Chordata; Mammalia; Rodentia; Muridae.
UCCAUCAGUAUAUACCACAAU